Molecule: ribosomal RNA, 270 nt
Filed under: uncultured archaeon
Lineage: Archaea
Description: partial 16S ribosomal RNA
Rfam family: Archaeal small subunit ribosomal RNA
Source: RNAcentral
CAGCACCUCAAGUGGUCAGGAUGAUUAUUGGGCCUAAAGCAUCCGUAGCCGGCUCUGUAAGUUUUCGGUUAAAUCUGUACGCUCAACGUACAGGCUGCCGGGAAUACUGCAGAGCUAGGGAGUGGGAGAGGUAGACGGUACUCGGUAGGAAGGGGUAAAAUCCUUUGAUCUAUUGAUGACCACCUGUGGCGAAGGCGGUCUACCAGAACACGUCCGACGGUGAGGGAUGAAAGCUUGGGGAGCAAACCGGAUUAGAUACCCGAGUAGUCC